Molecule: long non-coding RNA, 3549 nt
Organism: Pomacea canaliculata
Lineage: Eukaryota; Metazoa; Mollusca; Gastropoda; Architaenioglossa; Ampullariidae
Exons: 5
Source: RefSeq, a predicted model, not a curated record
AUGAGUUAGUGUGCGGAACUUUUUUUAGUCAACACCUAAUGACAUUUUAUAGUGCGGAAGUCACGUGGGGUUUCUUGUCCAAUGGUUUUUUUAAUUACAUCAGCUUUCUUUUGAGUGGUUCAAAAUCGUCUGCUGUUUUUGAACGAGAGAGCUGGGAGAAAGUGGUGUCGUAUAGAGGUAGAAAAAAUGAAUUGUGUUCGUCGUGUGUAUACUCCUGAGGGAUUUAUUUUGAACAAAAGCUCUACAAUACCAUAUGUUCUUGCUGUUACGCAACUUUCUGGAGAAGUUUUGUACUUUUUACGCGAGUGCUGACUGAUGAACAACCGUCGGACGCACGUGAUUGUUGUGAGGAAAAUGGUGAUAAAUUCUUAAAAUUCUUGGAUAUUGUGCUUCGUACUGAGUGGACUAAAGGAAGAGAGUUGUUUGGAUAGAUUUGCUCCUGUUGGUUGCGACAGACCAUCCAUAGUUAUUCUCGUGUCUGCCGGCCUGAGCUACCUUUUCAGACACCAUCUGUUCAGCCAAGCAUGCAAUUUUUCUUCUUGCGCUGGCCCACGUCAGAGGGAAGCAGCCCUGAGACUGAAGGAUUAAACAGGAGGAGAAGAAAGGGACUGCAAAGAUUUGGAUGGCAGGAGAAAAUCUGUUAUACGAUGACAGAACCUCAUUUGAUUUAAGUGGAGAUACUUGAAGACUUCUGCCUUUCCAAACAGUUGAGGAUUAUUCACUCGGAGUUUGCAAAAGCACUGUAGGACCAGACGUCGAGGCAUGUGGCUCAAAGAUGUUUUUUUCUUCAUGGGGCAACACGGAGGAAUGUGACCAGUUGAAAGUGCGACCACAGCCAAACCAGAUGCCUGCCAGAAAAGAAUCAGAAAACGAAGCCAUUUUCAUCACCGCAGCUGGACUGAAUGUGCACUUACGAGGGCCUAGAAAGUUACUAAACAGGCAAGAAGAAAGAAAACCGGAAACUACCACAACCGCCAUGCUUCAUCCUCGAAACUGCACAGGGACUUUCAUGCACGAAAAAAAAAAAAAAGUUAAAGCUACUGAAUCCUAUCCUAGACGCUGAAAAUGAAUGGCUGGAAUCUACACUCUAUAUCUGUGGGCCCAAGUCAACCUGUGGUUCGCGUGAGUGGCACUAACGUGUGAAUGAAGCACUGACGCCCUAGCCACACCUAGUUUCCGGCAGGUUGAUAAGACUGACUUUCUCCAGUGCUACCCCGUGCGCUGCUCGGCGGAAACAGAUAAGAAACGUGUUGAAAAACCAUCAACCAUCGUGUGGAUGUUUUGUGUGAGCCUGCACGCGUGGAUCAUAGCCUGGGCGUGCACUGACAUAUCCACAGCAGACAGUUCCUGACGAUACAGCAGCAGGAAAAUAUUGUUCUUCUGUCGCUCUUCUGUGUCGAUAUAUUUCUAAUAUUUGUGUCUUGCCUGCGCCUCACUGUUGUUCUCAUUGACUACUUCUCCUUGUCCUCUAGUGGUUAUGCAGCAGAAAUGAGCUAUAAGGGAAUGUACAGACAGAAAAAAGAGAAUUGUGAUCUCUGUGUGUGUGAGGAACGAAAGCAAGUGAAAAUCUUUCUGUAUGAUUAGUGAAUAUAGGACAUGAACGCCGUUUAGAGGAUGAGAUGCUAUAGUAUCUUGUACCUUGGAAAAUCACUGAAUGUUCAUUGUCUGAACGACCACUAGACUAGGUGCUACUUUCUCUUUAACAAACUUACUACUAAUCUGUGCACCCUUAAAAUAUGUCCGAAAUCUUCUCUUAAUAACAACAACUUCCACAAGUAACAUUACGAAGGGAAAUGGCCGACAUAAUCGGUGCACAGUGGGUUGCCGUCCCUUGCCUUCUUCAAGUGAAGAUUUACUGCCUGCUUAGUGAGAAGGGAGCUGCCGUCAGUCAGCCCCGCUAACAACUCUAAUUACCGCUUCAUGACUACCUGCCUAAUUCAUUCGCUGACCGUUGCAAGGGACGUGAACAGUCGUGCUCAUUCGUCUAGGCAAUAACAUCGAAGGGUUAUACUCUCUGCUCCUUGCAUACUACUUCAAUACAGUUUGUGCGACCAGUCUGAAAUUUGUCGCAUAGUAAAGGUUUUCUUAAGCUCUGAAAAAUAUAUUCUAAUCGAAUUAUGUGAUCCUAUUUGGCAAAUGAUUAUCUAUCCUAACGGACAUCAAACUCUGAACUGACAAAUUUUCGCUUGAACGAGUUGGCUACGGUUGGCUUAGGAGAUAAGCGCAAUAACAGGCAAACCUUAAAACCAGCUCUUACGGGUAUUCUAAGCAAUCAUAUCAACAACGACAGCACACUAAAAAUCGACGGACAACAGGUAGUCUCAACUUUAGGUAGACCGUCUGUAUGAUGAUCUAAUCCAGACAGAGGGACUUAACAGGAGCCGACACUGGCACCGCUGUAAUAUCGUAAUGGCCACUAUCUAACCCACAAAGUGCACCUGUUCCCACCCCUCACCCCUAAUUCCCGAAUGUGCAACAAUCUGUUUUAAACAACACUGUAGAUGUUACUAUACCACGCCUACUUUACACUGUCACAGCAAGUAAGCAUACGGGCAAUUCUGGGCCGUGUUUUGGGCUUUCAUAAAGCGACAUGUGUAUUCAGAUCUCACCCGAUGAUCUCACCACCACGAGGCACCGCCAUGAAGAGCAUCCAGAAGACAAGGGUGUGCUUCUUGGAAGAUCUGAGAACUACAUACACAACACAUCGUAAACCGUGCCUUUAAUCAGAUUUAUUUUCGGUCAAGAGUUGUGCAGCUCGAGACGGGAAUGCUGAAUGCUUCAACUGAACACACUUCGCACGAGAAGCGUGCAGUGCCAAGAGCAGAAACCGUAGUAUUCUUAAGCCAAUUUGGCAACACAACCAUUCCGUUGGCCCGGCUCCAUUACUCUCACCCACUUCACUGUCGCCAGCAAAAUGGAUUCUUCAUGAAACUCCCCUCCUUCCCCCAGCCUCUAAUUCUGCCUCCUCCUUUCGCCAGACACGCGCACACUUUCCUUCACUAAAACUAGAGCACUGCAAGGCCAAGGCACUGGCAUACUUCUUCAUCGAUUUCACAAUGUCGCGGGUCAUUUGACGUCUACUGAAGCGAGAUACAACCAAUACCACCAUUCUAAACCUCAUCCAUCAGACUGAAUAUUCCGGUUACCUCUAGUGAGCCUGGAAGCUCUAUAAGAAAUAUCCAACCGACUCGACGGAACCAACUACAGGGCUUUGUUUCCCUGGCAAAAGUGUCACCCUUUAUCUCGAAGCAGCACAGAUACGUGAAAGCUCCAGGGCAACAAGGGCAGCAUUACGGUCCCCAACUCGUGAUUCCCAAGCACUACACCUGUUGGGCAAGUUACUAAACAGUCAUCUUCGCCAGUGAUGACAAGGAGACUCUAAGCUAGGCCAGUAUUAAACCAGUAAUCAAAAUAGACAUUCCAUGACAUGUUAAGACUGAAAAGACGCAUGCCUGGUAAUUUAAUUUCCUAUCCUCUCCUUCGACUAAAAAUUACCCAUCUAGGCAUUCAACAGCUAUUUUCAUCAUCAGCUAUUUAUAACUGAAAACA